This 1662-nucleotide long non-coding RNA is filed under the name Octopus vulgaris (common octopus). The record is from RNAcentral. Lineage: Eukaryota; Metazoa; Mollusca; Cephalopoda; Octopoda; Octopodidae.
AUUAGGGCAGCGAGCUGGCAGAGUUGGUAGCACACCAGACGAAAUGCUUUGCAGCAUUUCGUCCAUCUUUACGUUGAGGGUUUCAAAUUCCGCCGAGGUUGAGUUUGCCCUUUCAUCCUUUCGGGGGGGGGGUCAACAAAAUAAGUACAGAUGAGGUUGAUGUAAUUGACUGGCCCCUCCCCUCAAUUUAUUGACCUUGUGCCUAUGAUAGAAAAAGAGUAUUAUUAUCAUUCGACUAAAACAAUUCUUCGACGUGGUGCCCCAGCAUGGCCGGAGUCCAAUGACUGAAACAAGUAAAAGAUAAAAGAUUAUUGGCAAACUGGCUGACCGUUAGCUGACCGGCCGGACAAAAUGCUUCGUGGCAUUUCUUCCGGCUUAGAAAUCUGAUUCUUGCCAGGGUCGGACUUUACCUUUCAUUCAUAACAGAGUUGAUUGAAUAAAGGAACCGGUCAAGUGUGUGGGGGUGGGGUGGAGGUGGUCGUGUUGGAGUGUUGAUGAUGAAGAUGGUGGUGGUAAUGAUGAUGAUGAGGGAGAUGAUGACGAUGAUAAUGAUGAUGAGGUGGUGAUGGUGAUGACGGUGGAGAAGUUGAUGAAGACGAUAGUCAUGACGAAGAUGAUGUGGUGGUGAUGGUGACAAAUGAUGAUGAUGAUGGUGGUGGUGGUGGUGAUGACGGUGGAGAAGUUGAUGAAGAUGAUUGUGACGAUGAUGACAAUGAUGAUGUGGUGAUGAGAUGGUGAGGGUGAUGACGGUGGAGAAGUUGAUGAAGACGAUGGUGAUGACGAUGUUGAUUACGACAAUGAUGAUGAUGAUGUGGUGAUGAUGGUGGUGGUGAUGGUGGAGAUGAUGCUGACAAUGAUGAUGAUGAUGGUGGUGGUGGUGGUGAUGAAGACGAUGAUUAUGACAAUGAUGAUGAUGACGAUGAUAAGAACUUAACUAUAAUGUUAUGACAUUUAGAGCAAAAGCACAAAAGAAAAAUCAAAGAAUCAGAUUCUUUUUUUUUGUUUUUCGGAUGGAAUUCAAACGGGGAGAAUAAAAAAAAAUAAGAAAAAUAAAUAAGAAGCAAAAAUAAUAGAAAAUAAAACGAAAAAGAAAGCAAAAAAUCCGACUUUGUUUUAAUAUAGACAUCAGUAGAUUUCAUGGAGGACUGUCUACAUGGGAAGGACUAUGGCAGACACCACAACAUCCACCCGGGGUGGUGGUGGUGGUGGUGCAAUGGUUCGGGUGGUGGCGUUAAGGUAAUAGAGUCAGAGGAGAAAACAGAUCUGAUGUUGCAAGGUGUGGUGGAGGCGGUGGUGGAAGAUAAAACAAAACAAAAAGAAACUAAAUCAGCAAAAAGACUAGUAGUAGUGGUGGUGGUAGUGGUAGUUGUAGAGGCGGUGGUGGUAGUAGUAGUAGUAGAGGUGGUGGUCGUGGUAGUAGUUGUAGAGGUGGUGGUGGUGGUAGUAGUUGUAGAGGUGGUGGGUAGUAGUAGUUGUAGUGGUGGUGGUGGUAGUGGUGGUGGUGGUAGUAGUUGUAGAGGUGGUGGUAGUAGUGGUGGUGGUGGUAGUAGUUGUAGAGGUGGUGGUAGUAGUAGUAGUGGUGGUGGUGGUAGUAGUUGUAGAGGUGGUGGUGGUAGUAGUAGUAGUAGAGGUGGUGGUAGUAGUGGUGGUGGUGGUAGUAGU